Molecule: small nuclear RNA, 165 nt
Organism: Esox lucius (northern pike)
Lineage: Eukaryota; Metazoa; Chordata; Actinopteri; Esociformes; Esocidae
Gene: U1
Rfam family: U1 spliceosomal RNA
About the family: U1 is a small nuclear RNA (snRNA) component of the spliceosome (involved in pre-mRNA splicing).
Source: Ensembl
AUACUUACCUGGCAAGGGAGACACCGUGAUCACCAAGGCGGUUCACCCAGGGCGAGGCUCGGCCAUUGCACUGCCGGCUGUGCUGACCCCUGCGAAUUUCCCAAAUGUGGAAAUCUCGAUUGCAUAAUUUCUGGUAGUGGGGGACUGCGUUCGCGCUCUCCCCUC